UACGUAGGGUGCGAGCGUUGUCCGGAAUUAUUGGGCGUAAAGAGCUCGUAGGCGGUUUGUUGCGUCGGCCGUGAAAACCUGCAGCUUAACUGUGGGCCUGCGGCCGAUACGGGCAGACUUGAGUUCGGUAGGGGAGACUGGAAUUCCUGGUGUAGCGGUGAAAUGCGCAGAUAUCAGGAGGAACACCGGUGGCGAAGGCGGGUCUCUGGGCCGUAACUGACGCUGAGGAGCGAAAGCGUGGGGAGCGAACAGG
RNAcentral lists this ribosomal RNA (253 nucleotides) under uncultured bacterium. Its description in RNAcentral is "partial 16S ribosomal RNA". It matches the Rfam family "Bacterial small subunit ribosomal RNA", at positions 524 to 776 of the family's 1533-position model. The record is from RNAcentral.